UGGGGAAUCUUCCGCAAUGGGCGAAAGCCUGACGGAGCAAUGCCGCGUGAGUGAUGAAGGAAUUCGUUCCGUAAAGCUCUUUUGUUUAUGACGAAUGUGCAGGUUGUGAAUAAUGAUCUGUAAUGACGGUAGUAAACGAAUAAGCCACGGCUAACUACGUGCCAGCAGCCGCGGUAAUACGUAGGUGGCGAGCGUUGUCCGGAAUUAUUGGGCGUAAAGAGCAUGUAGGCGGUUUUUUAAGUCUGGAGUGAAAAUGCGGGGCUCAACCCCGUAUGGCUCUGGAUACUGGAAGACUUGAGUGCAGGAGAGGAAAGGGGAAUUCCCAGUGUAGCGGUGAAAUGCGUAGAUAUUGGGAGGAACACCAGUGGCGAAGGCGCCUUUCUGGACUGUGUCUGACGCUGAGAUGCGAAAGCCAGGGUAGCGAACGGG
This 429-nucleotide ribosomal RNA is filed under the name uncultured bacterium. Its description in RNAcentral is "bacterial SSU rRNA". It matches the Rfam family "Bacterial small subunit ribosomal RNA", at positions 355 to 776 of the family's 1533-position model. The record is from RNAcentral.